UGGGGAAUCUUGCACAAUGGGGGAAACCCUGAUGCAGCGACGCCGCGUGAACGAUGAAGCCCUUCGGGGUGUAAAGUUCUUUCGACAGGAACGAUAAUGACGGUACCUGGAGAAGAAGCUGCGGCUAACUACGUGCCAGCAGCCGCGGUAAUACGUAGGCAGCGAGCGUUGUUCGGAGUUACUGGGCGUAAAGAGUGCGUAGGCGGCGAGCCAAGUUUGGUGUGAAAUCUCCCGGCUUAACCGGGAGGGUGCGCCGAAAACUGGUUGGCUGGAGUAUGGGAGAGGAAAGCGGAAUUCCUGGCGUAGCGGUGAAAUGCGUAGAUAUCAGGAGGAACACCUGCGGUGUAGACAGCUUUCUGGACCAAAACUGACGCUGAGGCACGAAAGCGUGGGUAGCAAACA
Molecule: ribosomal RNA, 402 nt
Filed under: uncultured bacterium
Lineage: Bacteria
Description: bacterial SSU rRNA
Rfam family: Bacterial small subunit ribosomal RNA
Source: RNAcentral